RNAcentral lists this transfer RNA (62 nucleotides) under Theopompa sp. FY-2016a. Its description in RNAcentral is "tRNA-Gly". It matches the Rfam family "tRNA". From Rfam's summary of the family: Transfer RNA (tRNA) molecules are approximately 80 nucleotides in length. Their secondary structure includes four short double-helical elements and three loops (D, anti-codon, and T loops). Lineage: Eukaryota; Metazoa; Arthropoda; Insecta; Mantodea; Gonypetidae. The record is from RNAcentral.
AUUUAUUUAGUAUAUCAGUACAUCUGAUUUCCAAUCAGAAGGCCUAACAUUUAGAAUAAAUA